GCAGACACUCAAGUACAAUCUGCUCCGCAAAGAUCCUGAGACACCGCUUUGUAAAAGCCGAGGAUGAAAUCAUCGUAGCCCGUUUGUUGGUGCGGGGAUACGCCCUAACCAAGAAGAGAGUGGAGAAGCGGGCCAUCCUGAGGUCUCUCCGUGCAGAGUUAUGUCCAGGUGUUCCUGUUCCUACUAUAAAGAGGAGAGGACCGCGAAAACAGAAAAAAACAUCCACUAAAUGUGGUAGUGAUGGAGGUCUCAACAACAGAUGAGGAGGAUUCACAAGAGCAGGCAGGACCCUCAGAGGAUGUAGCAGCCCCUCCACCACCUGAUGGCAAUAUGAUGGCUCCUAUGAAAGCUCAUGAGCCAGGACCCUCCCAUGAGCUUCAGGAUGAGGUGACUGACACACCUGAUGUGGGAGAAGAGGUGGAGGUGGAAGACGCUGGACCCUCCCAGCCACCACAAGAACCCCCACCACUCGAAAAAUGUUUAUUUUGUUCUGUUCUAAUGUCUGACUGCAUUCUUUCAUAUUGUUAGCAUAAUUUCUGUUUGUCCUGAUCAUAUUGAGUUUAGGGUAGACCGUACCCUCCACUGUUACCUUAACCUGCUGCUGCUGUCUGUCCUGUUCCGUAUGACUUUGCACUACGACUCAAGGGGCCUUCCUGCAACCUGAUAAAUUUAAAUCUAUAUAUAAAAAAGGAUGUAUCUGUGUGUGUAUGUAUAUGUGUAUGUUCCGCAAAA
Molecule: long non-coding RNA, 732 nt
Organism: Bufo gargarizans (Asiatic toad)
Lineage: Eukaryota; Metazoa; Chordata; Amphibia; Anura; Bufonidae
Exons: 3
Source: RefSeq, a predicted model, not a curated record